UAGUUUCUAAUUACGUGAAUGUGCUAUAUUAGUGCUACAUUUAUUUAUCUGACUACAAACGUAAGUGGUCAAGACAAUGAACUGAUGUGCUCAAACGUUGACUGAAUUUCCGUUCUAUCUACAUUUUAGAUGUGUCAGCAACGCAUCGAUUGGAGCUUGGCUACUGAUUCACUCCUGUCAUGGACCACAGCAAACAAGUAUGGCACUUGACAGGUAUGGAUCAACAAAUUGGUGGAGGAGAGGAAGAGGAGAUACUUGAGACGAGUUGUGCAAUGUAUUGCUGACGCCAGAUUGCUGGAGGUUGAGAUACAUGGAUGCUGAUUUAUGAGCUGCCAUCUUGGUGUGACCUGAGUCAUAGACCGACCAGAGCAGAGCCUUGACGUGUGCUUGUUGACAACAGCUGGUGAGUCUUGUAACAAAUACCUUUCCACUCCACAUUCAAAUUGUAUUCAGCUCUAUCCAGUUCAAAUAUCUCCUGUGAUCUUGCAGCUAUAGUGAGGUCCACGUAAUAAUGGAGUGUUUGAUUAGCAAUAUUAUUGCUAUCCUUGUCUAUCAUUCAACAAAGCGGAUAGCACUAUCUC
This is a long non-coding RNA of Nilaparvata lugens (brown planthopper), 581 nucleotides long. RefSeq lists it as uncharacterized. The record is from RefSeq and is a predicted model, not a curated record. Lineage: Eukaryota; Metazoa; Arthropoda; Insecta; Hemiptera; Delphacidae. The transcript is spliced from 3 exons.